GCAUGGUUGGUUUAGUGGCAUAAUUACCGCCUGCCAUUCAGGGAUCGCGGUAGACCCGGGUUCGAUUCCCGGACCAUGCA
RNAcentral lists this transfer RNA (80 nucleotides) under Blyttiomyces helicus. It matches the Rfam family "tRNA". Rfam says of the family: Transfer RNA (tRNA) molecules are approximately 80 nucleotides in length. Lineage: Eukaryota; Fungi; Chytridiomycota; Chytridiomycetes. The record is from Rfam by way of RNAcentral.